CCAUUUGUUGAUACCUCUUUCUCGCCCGGUCUCCUCCUAAUUCACCGAUGUCGCUCUAAAACAUAUACCAGCCGCCGUCCGACAUAGAUCCAGCUGACGCCGACGUCCACAAAGGCGACCGCCCAGCAGCACCCUUCGUUCAUGUGCGUCGUUCCCGCGGUCCCGCAGCGCCCCAGACGUGCAGCCACUCCCUCGCAGCCAGUGUGUAUCUCCUUCCCGACUCGCCCCUUCUUUGUGACGGAAUCAGCCACAACCACCGCCACCGCCGUUCACGAACACUUGCGACGUCCUUACAGCCACAACGAGGAAGGCGCUUGCGUCGUCCUCGCAGGGCAGUCAUGAGAUUGCAGAGGAGUACCCUGAGAUAAAGUAUGAGGAAGUUAUCAUUGACAAUGGCUGCAUGAUGAUAUAUUUGUGAACUUGGAUUUAGAGUGCAAUUGUAUUUGAAAAUUCAUUUUGAAUAUUGAAAAUGGAAUUACUCUCAUUCAUUUUUAUAAUCUACAACUUGU
Non-coding RNA from Arachis ipaensis, 509 nucleotides. The record is from RefSeq and is a predicted model, not a curated record. NCBI's taxonomy places the organism in Eukaryota, Viridiplantae, Streptophyta, Magnoliopsida, Fabales, Fabaceae.